This 388-nucleotide ribosomal RNA is filed under the name uncultured microorganism. Its description in RNAcentral is "bacterial SSU rRNA". It matches the Rfam family "Bacterial small subunit ribosomal RNA", at positions 9 to 394 of the family's 1533-position model. The record is from RNAcentral.
GAGUUUGAUCGUGGCUCAGGAUGAACGUUAGCGGCGUGCCUAACACAUGCAAGUCGAACGAACAGCCAGAAUCUUAAGAAUCUGGCGGGUUAGUGGCGCACGGGUGAGUAACACGUAGGUGACCUGCCCCGAAGUGGGGGACAACCACUGGAAACAGUGGCUAAUACCGCAUGUGCUUAGCCAUUCGGUUGGUUAAGUAAAGCUGAGGCGCUUCGGGAGGGGCCUGCGGUCGAUUAGCUAGUUGGUGAGGUAAUGGCUCACCAAGGCGAUGAUCGAUAGGGGGCGUGAGAGCGUGACCCCCCACACUGGGACUGAGACACGGCCCAGACUCCUACGGGAGGCAGCAGUGAGGAAUAUUGCACAAAUGGGCGCAAGCCUGAUGCAGCAA